CAGCAGGGGAGGCCGCCGCUCGCCGCCGCACCGCGCCCGGCCCCGCAGGUGGGCGAGCCGCAGCGGGGCCCUCCGGGUCCCAAGAUGGCCGCCGCUGCCUGUCCGCCUCCUGCGGUUCGCUGUGACACACACGAGAUGACUUUGUUCUUUGGGUGCCUACUGCUAGACAGACGCAUCCUGUUGUGAUAAAGGAGACCAGCUGGAUUUAGGACUGCGGCGGCGUGUUUGCGGUACGACUGACCAUAUGUGAUUUUCUGUCACGUUUGCAGCUUUAACGGGCUCGCAGCACCAGCCGGCACGAGAGAGCGCAGUGCUCGCUCUGCUGCUUCCUCAGCUGCUGAGGAAAUGGGACACGAGUGGAAAUGGUAAGAAAGCUUUUGAACCACGUGGAGAAUGUGAGAACUGUAGCCCAUAGGUGACUAAAAAUUGUGAAAUUGUACUAAGGGGAAACGGGAGGAUAUGGAGAUUGCAGCUCAGAUGCGCUCUAAGAGCGUGUUGGGCUAUUUGACAGCGAGGGUAAAGGCAGAAAGGCAGCAUCCAUCUCUGGUGCAGCGAGGGGAGAGAGAGAGUCUUGGGUUAAGUGUUCAUUUCUCACUUGCAGAGUGCAUAAUACUGGUUCUUAGUGGAAAAGGCUUUUAAAUUGGCUUCUGGGCAGCAAGCGAUGCAUACAGGAGAUUGAUUUCGUUUUAGAACUCUGCCUUACUUGGAUGCAGAUGGCGUGAACGGUUUCCUAAGGAUUUAAACAACCUUGAAAAAAGCUCGUAUCAUUUGCUUUUCUUUUCCCACCCACCGUACCAUUGUCAGGCUUCAGUGUUCCCAUGGAACAGGGGAUGUGCAGAACGCGUUGGGCAUUACUCUCGGUGCGGCACAGUGUGCACAGCGCUGCGGCACGCAGGGAGGGACCUCUCAGCAUCUGGUCACCUUCAGCCAGCGUUGCCAAGUCACUGCUGCUCGGGAGCAGCCAGAGCACGGCUUCCACUUUCAGGCUCUUCCUUCCCCGUGCUGAAGCUGAGUAACAGAUUUGCAUACAAUAUGAAUACGCUGUUUUGUUUCUUGUAGCGCCCUGUAUUAAAAUUUCAGAAACCACUCUUAAAUAAAAGCUCUGUCAGCGUGACACAGCUGAGAUGUUACAAGUGCAUGCACGUGCAGAGGUGUCAGAUUCAUCUCCAUUUCAUGCAGCAUUUACAUUAAAGAACCUGGGAGGUCUCCCCUUACCGCACUUGUCUGCAGCUUCUUUGCUCAAGGACUGGUCGUGACCCCAUCUCCCAUGUCCGCAGUGCAAAGUCAGCGCAUGAGGUUUCCUUUGGAUUAACUGGGGAAGCACAGGGGUAACUCCCUUCGUCAGAAAAGUGGGAAGAUUUGUCUCCACAUCAAACGUGCUUCAGAGCUAUUAAAAGGAGCAGUUUCUGGAGGUGUGCCAGGCUCCACAUCGCGUGCUUUCUCCCUGUUUUGCUUAAGGACUCCUGCAUUUGGUCCUCACCACAGAGACAGUCCCAGGCUGGGUGACAAACUCUGCUUUAUUUUGAGCUCUGCUUGCUAAGGAAAGUCCUUAAUGCACAUACUGGAUUUGAGUGUUUGCCUGUGUGUAGAUGAGUUAGCAGCCCAUGAGGUGAUGCUGGUAUCGCACUGAGAACAGCCCAGUCAUUGCAAGUGAGUCACUGUACCACACGUGCAGCAUUUUGAGGGAAAUCAAUCUGAAGACUACACACUGUCUUUGCUGGUCAGCAGUGAAUUGCAUCUCUCCACUUCCACACAUCCCUGAGGGAUGGGGCCAUGCAGGGGAGCACAGGGCCUGCACACUGGGUCUCCCUGGGUUCCAGCAGGACCCUUAUGCCAGUGGGCAGUACCACACGUGCCACCACCCUGGGCAGCUCCUGGGGACAGGCCUGGCACGUGGUGUCCUACCCACCCCAGGCAGAGCACGUGCUGAGGGGUGCGAGGCUGAAUGGCAGCACAGUGCCCAGGAGGCCACAUGCUCCCCGCGGCACCGUUCUCCUUCUGACAGCAUCCUGGCAUCGGUGAAAAAGCAGCAGCCUGUUUCUUUGUGUCUCCUGGGGCUCGGCUGAGUUUCUAGGUUACAUCCCCUGCCUGCGAGCCUCCAUCCCUCCUGAGAUGAGCACAGGAUGUGGAUAGUGAGGAUGCAGCCAAACCCUCAUCACACUGCAGCAGCCACUGCUACAGUGCAGCAGAUCUCAAGCGCAG
Molecule: long non-coding RNA, 2202 nt
Filed under: Gallus gallus (chicken)
Lineage: Eukaryota; Metazoa; Chordata; Aves; Galliformes; Phasianidae
Source: RNAcentral